AUUGAACGCUGGCGGCAUGCCUUACACAUGCAAGUCGAACGGCAGCGGACCUUCGGGUGCCGGCGAGUGGCGAACGGGUGAGUAAUAUAUCGGAACGUACCUUUCAGUGGGGGAUAACGUAGCGAAAGUUACGCUAAUACCGCAUAUUCUGUGAGCAGGAAAGCAGGGGAUCGCAAGACCUUGCGCUGAUUGAGCGGCCGAUAUCAGAUUAGCUAGUUGGUGAGGUAAAGGCUCACCAAGGCGACGAUCUGUAGCGGGUCUGAGAGGAUGAUCCGCCACACUGGAACUGAGACACGGUCCAGACUCCUACGGGAGGCAGCAGUGGGGAAUCUUGCGCAAUGGGCGAAAGCCUGACGCAGCGACGCCGCGUGGGUGAUGAAGGCCUUCGGUUGUAAGACCCUGUGGGAGGACGAACCGUACGGGG
RNAcentral lists this ribosomal RNA (424 nucleotides) under uncultured bacterium. Its description in RNAcentral is "bacterial SSU rRNA". It matches the Rfam family "Bacterial small subunit ribosomal RNA", at positions 30 to 459 of the family's 1533-position model. The record is from RNAcentral.